AGUGAACGCUGGCGGUAGGCCUAACACAUGCAAGUCGAACGGCAGCACAGGAGAGCUUGCUCUCUGGGUGGCGAGUGGCGGACGGGUGAGGAAUACAUCGGAAUCUACUCUGUCGUGGGGGAUAACGUAGGGAAACUUACGCUAAUACCGCAUACGACCUACGGGUGAAAGCAGGGGAUCUUCUGACCUUGCGCGAUUGAAUGAGCCGAUGUCGGAUUAGCUAGUUGGCGGGGUAAAGGCCCAACAAGGCGACGAUCCGUAGCUGGUCUGAGAGGAUGAUCAGCUACACUGGAACUGAGACACGGUCCAGACUCCUACGGGAGGCAGCAGUGGGGAAUAUUGGACAAUGGGCGCAAGCCUGAUCCAGCCAUACCGCGUGGGUGAAGAAGGCCUUCGGGUUGUAAAGCCCUUUUGUUGGGAAAGAAAUCCAGCUGGCUAAUACCCGGUUGGGAUGACGGUACCCAAAGAAUAAGCACCGGCUAACUUCGUGCCAGCCGCCGCAGUAA
Molecule: ribosomal RNA, 506 nt
Filed under: uncultured bacterium
Lineage: Bacteria
Description: partial 16S ribosomal RNA
Rfam family: Bacterial small subunit ribosomal RNA
Source: RNAcentral